RNAcentral lists this ribosomal RNA (293 nucleotides) under uncultured prokaryote. RNAcentral's name for it is "partial 16S ribosomal RNA". It matches the Rfam family "Bacterial small subunit ribosomal RNA", at positions 505 to 796 of the family's 1533-position model. The record is from RNAcentral.
GUGCCAGCAGCCGCGGUAAUACAGGGGGAGCAAGCGUUAUCCGGAAUGAUUGGGCGUAAAGCGUCUGUAGGUGGUUCUUUAAGUCUACUGUCAAAUACGUUGGCUCAACCAACGGCAGGCAGUAGAGUACUAAAGAACUAGAGUGCGGUAGAGGUAGAGGGAAUCCCUAGCGUAACAGUGAAAUGUGUAGAUUUUAGGGAGAACACCAGCGGCGAAGGCGCUCUACUGGGCCGAUACUGACACUGAGAGACGAAAGCUAGAGUAGCGAAAAGGAUUAGAAACCCCUGUAGUCC